AUGAUCACGACCUCCAACUUAGGUGAUCUUGGGUGAAUGUGAAAUGUUUAUGAAGUACCUGUUGCUUUCAUUAAGCUGAUAGUUUUUGUUAACGGGACAUUAUAUAAAUAAUUAUGAAAUAUUCUUCUCACAUUCUUGUUCAUGCAAAAUGAAAAUUGGUUUUACUAUAAUUUAAAUUGAAUGAUGUUCUAGGUUUUUAUUACUUUAGAAUAGUACCCUCGUAGCAAAGGAGAUAAUGACUUCAAAUAAAUUUUAACUGAAAAUUGGAGAAACUUAAAGACUUACAUUUAUUAAGGAUUGUGGAUUAGAUACUAUUUCUUCUUUUUGCAUGGCAUUAAGUUCUAGUUGAAUGCUUGUUAGUUGUUGGUUUCCUAUUUCUUUCUUUCUUUCCUUCCUCCUUUCUUGGUUAUUUUGUUAGACUGAUGUUGCGAUUGACUAUACCAUUCCUUUUUUUCCAUUCUGCUAAGUUGAAGGCCAUUCUUUUUAAUUAAACUCUCAAGGCUAAAUCCUUCUUGACACCCACGGCCAUGUCAUUUUUGGUCCACUUAUUUAUUUAUUUUGCUCUUGCAACCUAGAUGUAUUCAAAAUUCCCUAUCUGUGUUUCUUUGGAUCUUUGUUGGUCAUUACCAAACUCUCUUAGAUGGUGCUUGCUAGAGGUGGCAAAUGGAUGGUAUGGGUUGGGGUGUAGACUCGUAUACCCAUCCCAUUCAAAAUUUAUAUGGGUACUCAUACCCAGUUAACCCAAAUCAACCCUUACCUACUCAUUUGCCCUUUAUUGAUAAAUUAGUGGUGGUAAAAAUAUUGGUGGCUAUCUCGGAAGGUGGUGGUGGUGGCACCAGCAGAGGUGGUAGCUAUAUCAUUUGCAAAAAGCCUACAUUGAGGAAUAUCCUCUCGUAUAUGUGUUGUAAGUUCAUUCCUUAAUAAAACAAAGAGACAAGGGUUUAUAGUUAACUCUUUAUAUUAGCUAAAUGUGAUAAGGAAUUUCUCGGUCUCUUAUUAGUCUUUGCACUAGUGAAUGUUCCUUGAAAUCUAUUUUAGGCAUAUUUAUAUAUUUAACAAAUAGUCCCUUCAUUUCGAACACCCACCAUAGAACAACUCUCAAAAUGGGUCAAACACACAGGUGGAAUGAAGAAACAGAUGAGAAUGAGAUUUACUUCCCUUUUAGCAUAUAACACACAUGCAAGGAGAGCUUUUUAGGCCUCCAUUUAGGCUACAAGUCACUAGUGUUAAUUCUUUGGAGAAUUGCAAUUAAACAUAAGCCCUUAAUAUAGACAGACUUUAUCCUUCAAUAGUGGAUUUGGCAAAGGAAAAAGAAUGGUAACUGGAACACAAGUAAAAUGAGUUUGUGAGGGAUAGGUAAAACAAUUCCAUAAAUCCUUCUUUUUCUGAAACAUAGGAACAGAGGUGUUCCUCUAAUUUUUAGGCAUCUUUAGUCUCAAUAUGAGAAAAAUCCAAUGGUUAUGCUGAUUAUUUUAUGUACUUGGGAUUUGGGAUUCUUUCUAUUUAUUGAUUAAGGACAUGCGUUUCCAAUACUAUUCAAUCCUUGCUCUUGGUUUGUAAUUCUAUCCAUUCUAAAAGAUCCUUUCUCCAAAUGUGCUCUUUUGUGAAAUCUGUUGCAGAAGCAGAAGUCAACAUUAGUGUUAAAAUUAGGACUGUUUUGCUAGGCUUUCUGAUGCACAGCGCAUAUGUUUUCUAUUGCCAUGGGAUAUGACUUUUUGUUUUGUAAUUUAGGUAUUUUUCUAUUUCACUAAGAUGUUAA
Molecule: unclassified non-coding RNA, 1759 nt
Filed under: Hevea brasiliensis (rubber tree)
Lineage: Eukaryota; Viridiplantae; Streptophyta; Magnoliopsida; Malpighiales; Euphorbiaceae
Source: RNAcentral